RNAcentral lists this microRNA (19 nucleotides) under Corchorus olitorius. RNAcentral describes it as "hsa-miR-43". The record is from RNAcentral. Lineage: Eukaryota; Viridiplantae; Streptophyta; Magnoliopsida; Malvales; Malvaceae.
ACUGUUUUUUCCUUUUUCC